Molecule: ribosomal RNA, 430 nt
Filed under: Pseudomonadota bacterium
Lineage: Bacteria; Pseudomonadati; Pseudomonadota
Description: Proteobacteria bacterium partial 16S ribosomal RNA
Rfam family: Bacterial small subunit ribosomal RNA
Source: RNAcentral
UGGGGAAUAUUGGACAAUGGGCGAAAGCCUGAUCCAGCCAUGCCGCGUGUGUGAAGAAGGCCUUUUGGUUGUAAAGCACUUUAAGCGAGGAGGAGGCUACUAGUACUAAUACUACUGGAUAGUGGACGUUACUCGCAGAAUAAGCACCGGCUAACUCUGUGCCAGCAGCCGCGGUAAUACAGAGGGUGCAAGCGUUAAUCGGAAUUACUGGGCGUAAAGCGCGCGUAGGUGGUUCGUUAAGUUGAAUGUGAAAGCCCCGGGCUCAACCUGGGAACUGCAUCCAAAACUGGCGAGCUAGAGUCGGGCAGAGGGUGGUGGAAUUUCCUGUGUAGCGGUGAAAUGCGUAGAUAUAGGAAGGAACACCAGUGGCGAAGGCGACCACCUGGGCUCAUACUGACACUGAGGUGCGAAAGCGUGGGGAGCAAACAGG